Aphis gossypii (cotton aphid) is the source of this 313-nucleotide long non-coding RNA. RefSeq lists it as uncharacterized. NCBI's taxonomy places the organism in Eukaryota, Metazoa, Arthropoda, Insecta, Hemiptera, Aphididae. The record is from RefSeq and is a predicted model, not a curated record. The transcript has 3 exons.
AUUAGCCAUAACGUGUACAUAAAAUAUAUUAAUAUAACGUAGUAAUCAUUUUCCGGACUUAAAAGUUAUAGUUUCACAUGCACAAGCAUUAGUCCCACCCAGAUGAGGACUAUUAUCACCGGAAGUUGACGGAAACCAUUGUCGGACGCAAACAGUUGGACAAUGCAUUAUAAUGCUAUCGGCGCAGAUAAUAAAGUGACACGCACAACCAGACAUUACAAAAGCACGAAGACUAACGCAAAACACGGAAUGGAAAAGCGCGAUGGCGUUGGUUGGUGAAUGAACGAAAACCUCCUUUAUCGAGCUAUAUGCC